AGCAAUAGCUNCUUGCAUAAUUGUAANAAUUAUGCAGGAUCGACUAUGUCGAAUAAAAUUCUAGGUAGAAUUAUGAUAAUGACAUUGUCUACCUAUGUGUCUUGACCAANNUNCNUGCCAGCUNNCGCGGUAAUACGUAGAAGACUAGUGUUAUUCAUGUUUAAUCGGUUUAAAGGGUACCUAGACGGUAAAUCAAGCCUUAAAUUAAAUGANGGGACUAAUUUACUAGAGUUACUUAUGAGGGGGUAUUAAAGUACUGCUGGUGUAGAGAUGAAAUUCUGUCAUACCUCUUUUCAAUAGAAAAACAAUGGCACAGGUAUAGGCGAAAGCAUCCCCUUAUGUGAUAACUGACGUUGAGGGACGAAGGCUUUGUGUAGCGAACAGGAUUAGAUACCCCAGUAGUCAAAGCAGAAAAUGAUGAAUGUCAUAGAUUAGAUAAAUAAGUUUAUUCUAUAAAUGAAAGUGUAAGCAUUCCACCUCAAGAGUAAUUUGGCAACAUUGGAACUGAAAUCAUUAGACCGUUUCUGAAACCAGUAGUGAAGUAUGUUGUUUAAUUUGAUGGCCCGCAAAAAACCUUACCACAAUUUGAAUAUUUAUAUUUUUUUAUUGUUUUCUUUUUAAUUUUCUUCUUAUUUGAUUUUCCUAAAGAAAAAAAGAAAGAGAGGCGAUAUGAUAUAUUUACAAGCGUUGCACGGCUGUCUUCAGUUAAUGUCGCGAGACUUUGGUUAGUUCCAUUAAAUUAACGUAAACCCUUACUUUAUUUUUAUAUAGAGUAGUUCCCCGCUAGAUUGGAUAUGAUAAC
This 802-nucleotide ribosomal RNA is filed under the name Hypogymnia inactiva. RNAcentral's name for it is "mitochondrial SSU rRNA". It matches the Rfam family "Bacterial small subunit ribosomal RNA", at positions 374 to 1149 of the family's 1533-position model. Lineage: Eukaryota; Fungi; Ascomycota; Lecanoromycetes; Lecanorales; Parmeliaceae. The record is from RNAcentral.